AGAGCGAACGCUGGCGGAAUGCUUAACACAUGCAAGUCGCACGGGCAGCAAUGUCAGUGGCGGACGGGUGAGUAUCGCGUAGGAAUAUGUCCGGAGGUGGGGGACAACCCUGGGAAACUGGGGCUAAUACCGCAUAUGAGCUGAGGCUCAAAGCAGUGAUGCGCCUUUGGAGUAGCCUGCGUCCGAUUAGCUUGUUGGUGGGGUAAAGGCCUACCAAGGCGACGAUCGGUAGCUGGUCUGAGAGGACGACCAGCCACACUGGGACUGAGACACGGCCCAGACUCCUACGGGAGGCAGCAGUGGGAAUAUUGGACAAUGGGCGCAAGCCUGAUCCAGCAAUUCCGCGUGGGUGAAGAAGGUCUUCGGAUUGUAAAGCCCUUUCGACGGGACGAUGAUGACGGUACCCGUAGAAGAGCCCGCUAACGUCGUGCCAGCAGCCGCGGU
RNAcentral lists this ribosomal RNA (444 nucleotides) under uncultured soil bacterium. Its description in RNAcentral is "bacterial SSU rRNA". It matches the Rfam family "Bacterial small subunit ribosomal RNA", at positions 26 to 521 of the family's 1533-position model. The record is from RNAcentral.